RNAcentral lists this transfer RNA (77 nucleotides) under Salmonella enterica. RNAcentral's name for it is "tRNA-Arg". It matches the Rfam family "tRNA". Rfam says of the family: Transfer RNA (tRNA) molecules are approximately 80 nucleotides in length. Their secondary structure includes four short double-helical elements and three loops (D, anti-codon, and T loops). RNAcentral also lists the same sequence under 3 other names. Lineage: Bacteria; Pseudomonadati; Pseudomonadota; Gammaproteobacteria; Enterobacterales; Enterobacteriaceae. The record is from RNAcentral.
GCAUCCGUAGCUCAGCUGGAUAGAGUACUCGGCUACGAACCGAGCGGUCGGAGGUUCGAAUCCUCCCGGAGGCACCA